GCAGCCGCGGUAAUACGUAGGUGGCAAGCGUUAUCCGGAAUUACUGGGUGUAAAGGGUGUGUAGGCGGGACUGCAAGUCAGAUGUGAAAACUAUGGGCUCAACCCAUAGCCUGCAUUUGAAACUGUGGUUCUUGAGUGUCGGAGAGGUAAAUGGAAUUCCCAGUGUAGCGGUGAAAUGCGUAGAUAUUGGGAGGAACACCAGUGGCGAAGGCGAUUUACUGGACGACAACUGACGCUGAGACACGAAAGCGUGGGGAGCAAACAGGAUUAGAUACCCC
This 278-nucleotide ribosomal RNA is filed under the name uncultured Prevotella sp. Its description in RNAcentral is "partial 16S ribosomal RNA". It matches the Rfam family "Bacterial small subunit ribosomal RNA", at positions 511 to 788 of the family's 1533-position model. Lineage: Bacteria; Pseudomonadati; Bacteroidota; Bacteroidia; Bacteroidales; Prevotellaceae. The record is from RNAcentral.